Molecule: ribosomal RNA, 330 nt
Filed under: uncultured Aquicella sp.
Lineage: Bacteria; Pseudomonadati; Pseudomonadota; Gammaproteobacteria; Legionellales; Coxiellaceae
Description: bacterial SSU rRNA
Rfam family: Bacterial small subunit ribosomal RNA
Source: RNAcentral
CGCGUAGGCGGAUAGGUGAGUGUGAUGUGAAAGCCCUGGGCUUAACCUAGGAAGUGCAUCGCAAACGACCUAACUGGAGUAUAUGAGAGGGUGGCGGAAUUUCCGGUGUAGCGGUGAAAUGCGUAGAGAUCGGAAGGAACGUCAAUGGCGAAGGCAGCCACCUGGCAUAAUACUGACGCUGAGGCGCGAAAGCGUGGGGAUCGAACAGGAUUAGAUACCCUGGUAGUCCACGCUGUAAACGAUGAAGACUAGAUGUUGGUAGGGGAACCUAUCAGUAUCGAAGCUAACGCGAUAAGUCUUCCGCCUGGGAAGUACGGCCGCAAGGUUGAA